Molecule: long non-coding RNA, 2325 nt
Filed under: Solanum tuberosum (potato)
Lineage: Eukaryota; Viridiplantae; Streptophyta; Magnoliopsida; Solanales; Solanaceae
Description: long non-coding RNA (STUB_LNC011897)
Source: RNAcentral
UUAUGGAUCGAUCUAACAUCUACAGCUUGUUUUUACAUGAGGUUUGAAUUUGAUAUUGAUCUAUUUGAUUUGUUUUUGUGAUAUUUCGAUUGAAUUCAGCUGGAUCUAACUUUGUUAAUUGCGCAGCUUGUAAUUCCUGUAUAGAUCUUAAUGCUGUAUAUCUCUAUUUGUUCGUUGGAUCUAAGAUUUUGAAAUUUCGAUGCUGUUAGUGAAGUAGAGAAGCUUAAUUUUAAUGAAAACUGUUUAAUUUUGUAUGAUUUAGAUAAUUUUUAAUUAUGCUAGAAGCUUUCUAGUUUUCAUUCUGCUUUAGGAGGACAUAGUAGCUUAAAGAUUCGAUUUUUGACGAAUGCAAUCAAACACUUGUUUAAAUAUUUGUUACAUGUAGUAGAUCAACUUGAAUAGUGCAGACAAUCAGUUAAGAAAAAAUGAAGAGUGCAGACAUAGUAGCUUAAAGAUUUGAUUUUUGACGGAGGCAAUCAAAAACUUGUUUAAAUAUUUGUUACAUGUAGUAGAUCAACUUUAGAGAAGUUUAGUGCUGUUGUUUUUGCCAUAGAAAUUGAAUAGUGCAGACAAUUCGUUAAGAAGGAAGAGUGCAGACAUAGUAGCUCAAAAGAUUCGAUUUUUGACGAAGGCAAUCAAAAGUUGUUUAAAUAUUUGUUACACUCUGGUAUAUCAACUUUAGAGAAGUUUAUUGCUGUUGUUUUUGCCAUAGAAAUUGAAUAAUGCAGACAAUUCGUUAAGAAGGAAGAGUUUUCCGUCUUUGAAUCUUUCAUUUGAUGUUAGGGUUAAUUUUUCAAUGUUUGUUGCAUUUCAGUGUUAUAUUAGGACUGAGGUUGUAUAUGACAAUCAUUUUUCAAUUUUUAGUUACCAGAGAAUUUUCUGAGGAAAACAUUUUUCACCGAAAGAAGAAAAAUGACUUCUUUGUAGGAUAAAGUUCAUUCCUUUAUAAUCAUUUGUUUCAUGGGAUAGGCAAACAAUGUUUUCAAUCUUAAGUGUUAAGUAAUUAUCUUUUGAGAGAAAUGUUCGAUGAAAACUAUCUUGUCACCUUUACCUUCCUCUGUCAAUUAUAAAAUUAUUUACUUAUCCAAGAAAAAAAAUACUACCCGAGUAACACUCAUGUUUCAGAAAAUGCUUUUUCAAGGUAAAUUCUUUUGACGGAAAACAUUUAUUUGCAUAUCUAGUGCAGCUUGAGUCCCUGACAUCUAGAUGCUCUUAUCUUGGUUUUAGGAGGAACAAGGUUAUGUUCCUACAAAGCUGGAAAAAGAUUGCGACGGAGAAGGUAGCUGUGUACUUUUUCUUUUGAAGAUAAUGUACUGGCCAAGUCAUCUUAUGCACCUAUAAAGUGAUAGGAGUCGUAUUUAAUCUACAACUUCUAUGGUUUUCUGUAAGUGCAUGUUUUGCCUAGGUAUUUGUUGAUAUCAAAUAUUAGUAUAAAGAGUUUAUUAACCUAGUUAUGUGGAAAUUAGCGCAGGCUAAACUUCAUUCUAAACAAAGGAAAACCAUGCAGCGUGCUUGUUGCAUGUUUUCUUUUUUACGUUGUUUCUAUUUGAUCAACUUAUUUUUUUUUGAGAAUUUUCUAUUCUAUCAACUUAGCACACUUAUAUUUAGGUUUUAGAUUAACUUGGAAGCUAAUGGUGCGUAUUUCAGUAUUAUGAUCUUGUCUCUGUAACUUUUUCUGUAUGUGGUAGCUAAUGGUGCUGGGUGUUAACCAAACUUUCCCUUAAUGUCUUCACAGUAAAAAAUGUUUCACUCCCCGUCACCACCUUUCUUAACAUCAUUUAUGUUUUCACUUUUAUCUAAAUUGAAUAUGAAACUGAGGAUCUUCUAGGUGUUGUAAAGGAAUUUAGGCUGUGCUCUGUAACAUUUGCUGUUUUCCUUGGACUGACUUUACGACCUGAAGCAAGCAUGGAGUGUGUGUGGUUGAAGGUAACAUUCCAAGGAUACAAGGUUACUGUACUAACUUAGUUACCAUGUGAAACUGAUGCUACAAGUUGGACUCGGAUAAUGUAGAUUGUGACCCCUCCCGUUUCUCGUAGUUCCAUUUUGUUCACAUUUGUUAAGUAUCCUUUUAUCGACAGAUAUUUUGGUCGCCUAAUGCUGUGAACGAUGAGGUUUUUGCUGUACAUCUGAUGCCCGGAAAAUGGAAGGCGGGAAAGUAUUUGUUCUUUUUUUUUUGAGGUCCAAAUGACAUUGCUUCUAAUUUAUAAACUACUGAUCUAGUUCAGCAAUAUCUUUGUACUCUUCUUUUACUUUUUAUUUCUUUGUGAUGGCUGCAAUCUGAAGUGAUCAUAGCCUAAAUGACAGGGGAUACCAAUUGUGUUCAAA